AAGUGCUUAGGUAGUAUACCCAUUACCUUGGU
RNAcentral lists this transfer RNA (32 nucleotides) under Myospalax psilurus. Its description in RNAcentral is "partial tRNA-Thr". The record is from RNAcentral. Lineage: Eukaryota; Metazoa; Chordata; Mammalia; Rodentia; Spalacidae.